UUGUAGAUUCAAGUAGAGGGAGGGGUAAUUUCGAUAGUUAAGUUUCUAUAUUGCAUGCGUUACAAUAGGUUAUAGGAGUUGAUUCAAUCCUCCCCAUACCCUCCCACAUCACUCUUAAACAAUAAUUAAAUCUUACCUAACUUAAUUAAAAUAAUCUAAAAUAAUCAAAUUAAAUCUCAUAAAAUCAUAAAAUAAUCUUCUCUCUUCAUCCAAAUCUCCAUGUGAUCUUUUCCACUAAUAUUUGAGUUGAAGUCUUGAUGAAUAUUUAGCAUGUAGAACAAAUGGGUCCUCAUAUUCCACCUUCCUCAUGCAUGUGGCUUGGAAACUCCUCU
This 332-nucleotide long non-coding RNA is filed under the name Carica papaya (papaya). RNAcentral describes it as "long non-coding RNA (CPAP_LNC011887)". Lineage: Eukaryota; Viridiplantae; Streptophyta; Magnoliopsida; Brassicales; Caricaceae. The record is from RNAcentral.